RNAcentral lists this ribosomal RNA (1579 nucleotides) under Staphylococcus aureus. RNAcentral describes it as "partial 23S ribosomal RNA". It matches the Rfam family "Bacterial large subunit ribosomal RNA", at positions 1286 to 2863 of the family's 2925-position model. Lineage: Bacteria; Bacillati; Bacillota; Bacilli; Caryophanales; Staphylococcaceae. The record is from RNAcentral.
AAGUGAGAAUGCCGGUGUGAGUAGCGAAAGACGGGUGAGAAUCCCGUCCACCGAUUGACUAAGGUUUCCAGAGGAAGGCUCGUCCGCUCUGGGUUAGUCGGGUCCUAAGCUGAGGCCGACAGGCGUAGGCGAUGGAUAACAGGUUGAUAUUCCUGUACCACCUAUAAUCGUUUUAAUCGAUGGGGGGACGCAGUAGGAUAGGCGAAGCGUGCGAUUGGAUUGCACGUCUAAGCAGUAAGGCUGAGUAUUAGGCAAAUCCGGUACUCGUUAAGGCUGAGCUGUGAUGGGGAGAAGACAUUGUGUCUUCGAGUCGUUGAUUUCACACUGCCGAGAAAAGCCUCUAGAUAGAAAAUAGGUGCCCGUACCGCAAACCGACACAGGUAGUCAAGAUGAGAAUUCUAAGGUGAGCGAGCGAACUCUCGUUAAGGAACUCGGCAAAAUGACCCCGUAACUUCGGGAGAAGGGGUGCUCUUUAGGGUUAACGCCCAGAAGAGCCGCAGUGAAUAGGCCCAAGCGACUGUUUAUCAAAAACACAGGUCUCUGCUAAACCGUAAGGUGAUGUAUAGGGGCUGACGCCUGCCCGGUGCUGGAAGGUUAAGAGGAGUGGUUAGCUUCUGCGAAGCUACGAAUCGAAGCCCCAGUAAACGGCGGCCGUAACUAUAACGGUCCUAAGGUAGCGAAAUUCCUUGUCGGGUAAGUUCCGACCCGCACGAAAGGCGUAACGAUUUGGGCACUGUCUCAACGAGAGACUCGGUGAAAUCAUAGUACCUGUGAAGAUGCAGGUUACCCGCGACAGGACGGAAAGACCCCGUGGAGCUUUACUGUAGCCUGAUAUUGAAAUUCGGCACAGCUUGUACAGGAUAGGUAGGAGCCUUUGAAACGUGAGCGCUAGCUUACGUGGAGGCGCUGGUGGGAUACUACCCUAGCUGUGUUGGCUUUCUAACCCGCACCACUUAUCGUGGUGGGAGACAGUGUCAGGCGGGCAGUUUGACUGGGGCGGUCGCCUCCUAAAAGGUAACGGAGGCGCUCAAAGGUUCCCUCAGAAUGGUUGGAAAUCAUUCAUAGAGUGUAAAGGCAUAAGGGAGCUUGACUGCGAGACCUACAAGUCGAGCAGGGUCGAAAGACGGACUUAGUGAUCCGGUGGUUCCGCAUGGAAGGGCCAUCGCUCAACGGAUAAAAGCUACCCCGGGGAUAACAGGCUUAUCUCCCCCAAGAGUUCACAUCGACGGGGAGGUUUGGCACCUCGAUGUCGGCUCAUCGCAUCCUGGGGCUGUAGUCGGUCCCAAGGGUUGGGCUGUUCGCCCAUUAAAGCGGUACGCGAGCUGGGUUCAGAACGUCGUGAGACAGUUCGGUCCCUAUCCGUCGUGGGCGUAGGAAAUUUGAGAGGAGCUGUCCUUAGUACGAGAGGACCGGGAUGGACAUACCUCUGGUGUACCAGUUGUCGUGCCAACGGCAUAGCUGGGUAGCUAUGUGUGGACGGGAUAAGUGCUGAAAGCAUCUAAGCAUGAAGCCCCCCUCAAGAUGAGAUUUCCCAACUUCGGUUAUAAGAUCCCUCAAAGAUGAUGAGGUUAAUAGGUUC